UUAGAUACGAUCUAUAUACAUGCUUAGGAUCGUAUAGCGUUUAUCCAUCGGAUCCAUGGGUAAAUGGUAGAUAUUGUGUAGGCGUGGUGCUUAUACCGUAUUUAUCUGCGAUUGUACCCAAUAUGCCAGAUCGUGGGGUAGUUCGUGAUAGUGACAGCUUCAUUGAUUCUUAUAUAGUCCCCCUCUCGUGUAUUGGGCUGGC
Molecule: long non-coding RNA, 202 nt
Filed under: Sorghum bicolor (sorghum)
Lineage: Eukaryota; Viridiplantae; Streptophyta; Magnoliopsida; Poales; Poaceae
Description: long non-coding RNA (SBIC_LNC015609)
Source: RNAcentral